Molecule: ribosomal RNA, 475 nt
Filed under: uncultured bacterium
Lineage: Bacteria
Description: bacterial SSU rRNA
Rfam family: Bacterial small subunit ribosomal RNA
Source: RNAcentral
UGGCGGCAUGCCUUACACAUGCAAGUCGAACGGCGAGCACGGGAGCAAUCCUGGUGGCGAGUGGCGAACGGGUGAGUAAUAUAUCGGAACGUGCCAGUCGUGGGGGAUAACGUAGCGAAAGCUACGCUAAUACCGCAUACGAUCUAUGGAUGAAAGCGGGGGAUCGCAAGACCUCGCGCGAUUGGAGCGGCCGAUAUCAGAUUAGGUAGUUGGUGAGGUAAAGGCUCACCAAGCCGACGAUCUGUAGCUGGUCUGAGAGGACGACCAGCCACACUGGGACUGAGACACGGCCCAGACUCCUACGGGAGGCAGCAGUGGGGAAUUUUGGACAAUGGGCGCAAGCCUGAUCCAGCAAUGCCGCGUGCAGGAUGAAGGCCUUCGGGUUGUAAACUGCUUUUGUACGGAACGAAACGGUGAGCUCUAAUACAGUUUGCUAAUGACGGUACCGUAAGAAUAAGCACCGGCUAACUACGUG